AUUGAACGCUGGCGGCAGGCCUAACACAUGCAAGUCGAGCGGAUGAAGGGAGCUUGCUCCUGGAUUCAGCGGCGGACGGGUGAGUAAUGCCUAGGAAUCUGCCUGGUAGUGGGGGAUAACGUCCGGAAACGGGCGCUAAUACUGCAUACGUCCUGCGGGAGAAAGUGGGGGAUCUUCGGACCUCACGCUAUCAGAUGAGCCUAGGCCGGAUUAGCUAGUUGGUGGGGUAAAGGCCUACCAAGGCGACGAUCCGUAACUGGUCUGAGAGGAUGAUCAGUCACACUGGAACUGAGACACGGUCCAGACUCCUACGGGAGGCAGCAGUGGGGAAUAUUGGACAAUGGGCGAAAGCCUGAUCCAGCCAUGCCGCGUGUGUGAAGAAGGUCUUCGGAUUGUAAAGCACGUUAAGUUGGGAGGAAGGGCAGUAAGUUAAUACCUUGCUGUUUUGACGUUACCAACAGAAUAAGCACCGGCUAACUUCGUG
This 484-nucleotide ribosomal RNA is filed under the name uncultured bacterium. RNAcentral describes it as "partial 16S ribosomal RNA". It matches the Rfam family "Bacterial small subunit ribosomal RNA", at positions 30 to 507 of the family's 1533-position model. The record is from RNAcentral.